UCCGUUGGUGAACCAGCGGAGGGAUCAUUACCGAGUUAUACAACUCAUCAACCCUGUGAACAUACCUAAAACGUUGCUUCGGCGGGAACAGACGGCCCCGUAACACGGGCCGCCCCCGCCAGAGGACCCCCUAACUCUGUUUCUAUUAUGUUUCUUCUGAGUAAAACAAGCAAAUAAAUUAAAACUUUCAACAACGGAUCUCUUGGCUCUGGCAUCGAUGAAGAACGCAGCGAAAUGCGAUAAGUAAUGUGAAUUGCAGAAUUCAGUGAAUCAUCGAAUCUUUGAACGCACAUUGCGCCCGCCAGUAUUCUGGCGGGCAUGCCUGUUCGAGCGUCAUUACAACCCUCAGGCCCCCGGGCCUGGCGUUGGGGAUCGGCGAGGCGCCCCCUGCGGGCACACGCCGUCCCCCAAAUACAGUGGCGGUCCCGCCGCAGCUUCCAUUGCGUAGUAGCUAACACCUCGCAACUGGAGAGCGGCGCGGCCACGCCGUAAAACACCCAACUUCUGAAUGUUGACCUCGAAUCAGGUAGGAAUACCCGCUGAACUUAAGCAUAUCA
RNAcentral lists this ribosomal RNA (557 nucleotides) under Fusarium solani. RNAcentral's name for it is "eukaryotic LSU rRNA". The stretch from base 183 to 336 matches the Rfam family "5.8S ribosomal RNA". Lineage: Eukaryota; Fungi; Ascomycota; Sordariomycetes; Hypocreales; Nectriaceae. The record is from RNAcentral.